This 88-nucleotide transfer RNA is filed under the name Candidatus Bathyarchaeota archaeon. Its description in RNAcentral is "tRNA-Ser". It matches the Rfam family "tRNA". From Rfam's summary of the family: Transfer RNA (tRNA) molecules are approximately 80 nucleotides in length. Their secondary structure includes four short double-helical elements and three loops (D, anti-codon, and T loops). RNAcentral also lists the same sequence under 1 other name. Lineage: Archaea; Thermoproteati; Candidatus Bathyarchaeota. The record is from RNAcentral.
GCCGGGGUGGCGGAGCGGCCAACGCGUCGGACUCGAGAUCCGAUGGGCCUCACGGCCCGCAUGGGUUCAAGUCCCAUCCCCGGCGCCA